Molecule: ribosomal RNA, 469 nt
Filed under: uncultured bacterium
Lineage: Bacteria
Description: partial 16S ribosomal RNA
Rfam family: Bacterial small subunit ribosomal RNA
Source: RNAcentral
GACGAACGCUGGCGGCGUGCUUAACACAUGCAAGUCGAACGGAAAGGCCCUGCUUUUGUGGGGUGCUCGAGUGGCGAACGGGUGAGUAACACGUGAGUAACCUGCCCUUUGACUUUGGGAUAACUUCAGGAAACUGGGGCUAAUACCGGAUAGGAGCUCCUGCUGCUUGUGGGGGGUGGGAAAGUUUCGGGGGUUGGGGAUGGACUCGCGGCUUAUCAGCUUGUGGGUGGGGUAGUGGCUUACCAAGGCUUUGACGGGGAGCCGGCCUGAGAGGGUGACCGGCCACAUUGGGACUGAGAUACGGCCCAGACUCCUACGGGAGGCAGCAGUGGGGAAUAUUGCACAAUGGGCGGAAGCCUGAUGCAGCAACGCCGCGUGCGAGAUGACGGCCUUCGGGUUGUAAACCGCUUUCGCCUGUGACGAAGCGUGAGUGACGGUAAUGGGUAAAGAAGCACCGGCUAACUACGUG